GCUCCCAUCGUCUAACGGUUAGGACAUCGGCUUUUCAAGCCGGUAAUCGGGGUUCGAUUCCCCGUGGGAGUACCA
RNAcentral lists this transfer RNA (75 nucleotides) under Candidatus Margulisbacteria bacterium GWD2_39_127. RNAcentral's name for it is "tRNA-Glu". It matches the Rfam family "tRNA". From Rfam's summary of the family: Transfer RNA (tRNA) molecules are approximately 80 nucleotides in length. Their secondary structure includes four short double-helical elements and three loops (D, anti-codon, and T loops). Further hydrogen bonds mediate the characteristic L-shaped molecular structure. tRNAs have two regions of fundamental functional importance: the anti-codon, which is responsible for specific mRNA codon recognition, and the 3' end, to which the tRNAs corresponding amino acid is attached (by aminoacyl-tRNA synthetases). tRNAs cope with the degeneracy of the genetic code in two manners: having more than one tRNA (with a specific anti-codon) for a particular amino acid; and 'wobble' base-pairing, i.e. permitting non-standard base-pairing at the 3rd anti-codon position. The record is from RNAcentral. Lineage: Bacteria; Bacillati; Candidatus Margulisiibacteriota. RNAcentral also lists the same sequence under 2 other names.